GCUGGAGCAGUGGCGUGGUGUUAGGCGGCAGGAACAUGAUGCUGAUGAAGCUGAACUCCUCCAACAAGUCCUCCUCAAGGCCUUUAGGAUGAGCAGGAGCAUUGUCCAUCAGAAGCAAAGCCUUCAGCGGCAGGUCGUUGUCCAGCAGGUACUGUUUGACAGCAGGGCCAAAAGCAAGAUUGACCCAGUCCACAAACAGCACACGUGUGACCCAAGCCUUACUGUUGGAUCGCCACAUGACACUCAGCUGCUCCUUGUCGACCUUGUGUUUCUUGAAGGCCCGUGGGUUCUCCGAGUGGUACACCAGCAGGGGCUUGAUCUUCAGGUCGCCGCUUGCGUUGGCACAGAAGAGCAGGGUCAGACGGUCCUUCAUGGGCUUGUGGCCAGGCAACUUGGCCUCCUCCUGUGUGAUGAAAGUCCUUUUGGGCAUCCUCUUCCAAAACAGCCCAGUCUCGUCGCAUUGAAGACCUGCUGUGGAACGUAGCCCUCCGUCUUCACAGCCUCCAGGAACUCCGCUGCAAAGUCUUCAGCCGCAGGAACAUCAGAACUGGCAGCCUCUCCAUGCCUGACCACGCUGUGGAUUCCAGAUCUUGCCUUGAACCGGUCAAACCAACCUCUGCUUGCCUUGAAGACUUCUGGCUCGCCUGAGGUUCCUGGCUGUUUCUGGACGAGGUCUGCGUGCAAGGCCUUGGCCUUCUCACAAAUGACGGCCUCAGUCACUGUGUCCCCUGCACGCUGCUUCUCUUCUAACCAGAUGAGCAGCAACUUCUCGACCUCCUCCAGAACAGCUGGGCGGUUCUUUAUGAUCCUGGUGACUCCCUUGGCUGCAUCAGUCGCAAGGAUCUUCUCCCUCAUCUUCAGGAUGGUCCCGAUGGUCGAUGGAUUCCUCCCGUACUCCCUGGCGAGGUCUGUCACACGCAUUCCACCGUCGUGCUUCCGGAUGAUCUCCUUCUUCAUUUCCAGCGUCACCUUCUCCUUCUUCCUCUCGCCGGCCUCUGCAGCAGCAGUCUUCUUGGGUCCCAUGGCAGCACAGCUCCUAGCUUCGCAAACUCAG
Molecule: non-coding RNA, 1054 nt
Organism: Podarcis lilfordi (Lilford's wall lizard)
Lineage: Eukaryota; Metazoa; Chordata; Lepidosauria; Squamata; Lacertidae
Source: the annotation of a GenBank genome assembly